UACGUAGGGUGCAAGCGUUGUCCGGAAUUAUUGGGCGUAAAGAGCUCGUAGGCGGUCUGUUGCGUCGGCUGUGAAAACCCGAGGCUCAACCUCGGGCCUGCAGCCGAUACGGGCAGACUAGAGUUCGGCAGAGGAGACUGGAAUUCCUGGUGUAGCAGUGAAAUGCGUAGAUAUCAGGAGGAAUACCGAUGGCGAAGGCGGGACUCUGGGCCGAUACUGACGCUGAGGAGCGAAAGCGUGGGGAGCGAACAGG
Molecule: ribosomal RNA, 253 nt
Filed under: uncultured bacterium
Lineage: Bacteria
Description: partial 16S ribosomal RNA
Rfam family: Bacterial small subunit ribosomal RNA
Source: RNAcentral